GGCACGCCUAACACAUGCAAGUCGAGCGCUCUAACCACUUCGGUGGGGACGGGAGCGGCGGACGGGUUAGUAACGCGUGGGAACAUACCCUUUUCUACGGAAUAGCCUCGGGAAACUGAGAGUAAUACCGUAUACGCCCUUCGGGGGAAAGAUUUAUCGGUUAAGGAUUGGCCCGCGUUAGAUUAGUUAGUUGGUGGGGUAACGGCCUACCAAGACGACGAUCUAUAGCUGGUUUGAGAGGAUGAUCAGCAACACUGGGACUGAGACACGGCCCAGACUCCUACGGGAGGCAGCAGUGGGGAAUCUUAGACAAUGGGCGCAAGCCUGAUCUAGCGAUGCCGCGUGAGUGAAGAAGGCCUUAGGGUCGUAAAGCUCUUUCGCCUGUGAUGAUAAUGACAGUAGCAGGUAAAGAAACCCCGGCUAACUCCGUGCCAGCAGCCGCGGUAAUACGGAGGGGGUUAGCGUUGUUCGGAAUUACUGGGCGUAAAGC
This 490-nucleotide ribosomal RNA is filed under the name uncultured bacterium. Its description in RNAcentral is "bacterial SSU rRNA". It matches the Rfam family "Bacterial small subunit ribosomal RNA", at positions 41 to 566 of the family's 1533-position model. The record is from RNAcentral.